GAUGAAGAACGUAGCAAAAUGCGAUACUUGGUGUGAAUUGCAGAAUCCCGUGAACCAUCGAGUUUUUGAACGCAAGUUGCGCCCGAAGCCUUUUGGCCGAGGGCACGUCUGCCUGGGCGUCACGCAUCGCGUCGCCCCCCACAAUUCUCCGUAAAAGGAACAUGUGUUUUGGGGGCGGAUAUUGGUCUACCGUGCUCAUGGCGUGGUUGGCCGAAAUAGGAGUCCUUUCGAUGGACGCACGAACUAGUGGUGGUCGUAAAAACCCUCGUCUUUUGUUUCGUGCUGUUGCUCGCAAGGUAAACUCUUUAAAAACCCCAAUGUGUCGUCUCUUGACGACGCUUCGACCGCGACCCCAGGUCAGGCGGGACUACCCGCUGAGUUUAAGCAUAUCAAUAAGCGGAGGA
RNAcentral lists this unclassified non-coding RNA (404 nucleotides) under soil metagenome. RNAcentral describes it as "partial contains 5.8S ribosomal RNA, internal transcribed spacer 2, and large subunit ribosomal RNA". The stretch from base 1 to 122 matches the Rfam family "5.8S ribosomal RNA", at positions 35 to 154 of the family's 154-position model. The record is from RNAcentral.